Dinoponera quadriceps is the source of this 291-nucleotide long non-coding RNA. RefSeq lists it as uncharacterized. The transcript has 3 exons. The record is from RefSeq and is a predicted model, not a curated record. NCBI's taxonomy places the organism in Eukaryota, Metazoa, Arthropoda, Insecta, Hymenoptera, Formicidae.
GUCGCAACCCGCAUAUGUCAUCACUACCAGGCAAGCCGCGGGUCCCAUGUGAGCUGUUGAUUAACGGUGCGAAACGGACGAUCGAUCACUUACAGAACAGCAUGAAUAUCUUUCUGAUCCAACCCAGAGAUAAAACACCCUUCCUUCGCACAUAAUCGCCUGCCGCUGCGAACAACACUCCAGCGCCGAGUCUAGCCAUUAUGAAUCUGUCGCGAGUACCGAUUUCAUGUUGAAGCCGAGAACCUCCAGCGUGUAUUUGGGCCCGUUGGUAGCGAUGAAGUAUAUACCCCA